Molecule: transfer RNA, 73 nt
Filed under: Pseudomonadota bacterium
Lineage: Bacteria; Pseudomonadati; Pseudomonadota
Description: Proteobacteria bacterium (activated sludge metagenome) tRNA-Ala
Rfam family: tRNA
About the family: Transfer RNA (tRNA) molecules are approximately 80 nucleotides in length. Their secondary structure includes four short double-helical elements and three loops (D, anti-codon, and T loops).
Source: RNAcentral
GGGGGAUUAGCUCAGCUGGGAGAGCGCGGGCUUUGCAAGCCUGAGGUCGUGGGUUCGAUCCCCAUAUCCUCCA